This 521-nucleotide RNase MRP RNA is filed under the name Colletotrichum sublineola. RNAcentral's name for it is "RNase MRP". It matches the Rfam family "RNase MRP". Rfam says of the family: RNase MRP is an enzymatically active ribonucleoprotein with two distinct roles in eukaryotes. The record is from Rfam by way of RNAcentral. Lineage: Eukaryota; Fungi; Ascomycota; Sordariomycetes; Glomerellales; Glomerellaceae.
CCCUCGCCCGACAAAUCGCCAUCGAAGCUCACAAACAGAGACGUUUUUUUCGAAAGGCGUCUCGGUCCUCUGGAUCAACAGCGCUUUGGGAGAAAGUCCCCGGACACACGUUAUUCUUCCCCUUUCGGGGGGAGGAACAAAAACGCCGCGGAAACGCGCCGCCAUAGAAGCACAGCGGCUGACCUCCAAGACCUGCGCUCGGACGUAAUGGCCUCUCUGUUCACGCCCCGCCCCGUCGCUACAUCGUUGGUGCUCUGCCCCCCUCGGGACCCGAGUAUGCCUUGUCCUGGGACCAUUUGGAUGAAGAUAUGAGUCCGCGCCUGGGAUGGGGGGGACUCGGUGCGCUCGUGUGGGCCAGGUGCCUUCGAUGACGAGGUGGCCGCGUGGGAGAGGUCGCUUGCCGGGCGAAUUCAAGGGUUCGUCGGAGGGUCUUUCGUCGAGAUCGAUAGGUAUGCGAUUGCGCGCUCUCCCCUUCACCGGGGAGCGCGUGUUACUCGAUGGGGCUUAUUCUCGGUGCAAGG